RNAcentral lists this unclassified non-coding RNA (2096 nucleotides) under Dermacentor andersoni. RNAcentral's name for it is "cleavage and polyadenylation specificity factor subunit 6-like". Lineage: Eukaryota; Metazoa; Arthropoda; Arachnida; Ixodida; Ixodidae. The record is from RNAcentral.
GCUGCGAUCUUCAGCGAUUCGCAGCAGUUCGUCGGGAAGACAGGCAAAAUGGCGGACGGCGUGGAUAUUGAUCUCUACGCCGACGAUCUCGAGCAAGACUUUAACCAGGAGGGAUACAAUGAGCACGAUGCCAACGUGGAUCUUUACGACGACGUUAUUGCUGCACCGUCCAGCGAUGGAAAUGCAGACGAGGUGUCUGGGAUUGGUAACCAGUCCCAGGGAAACAGCCAUCCUUCAAAGCGUGUGGCUCUGUACAUUGGAAACUUGACUUGGUGGACUACGGACCAAGACGUCACCGAUGCCAUAAGUGCUGUUGGGGUCAACGAUGUGUUAGACAUCAAGUUUUUUGAGAACAGAGCCAAUGGCCAGUCGAAGGGAUUCUGCAUUGUGACUUUGGGAUCGGAUAGUGCAGUCCGUGCUGUCAUGGAAAAGUUGCCCAAGAAGGAACUUCAUGGUCAGAACCCAGUGGUAACCACGUGCAGUCGUCAGCACCUGAACCACUUUGAGAUGCAAAGUCGCAAGCCCAGCCAGGCUUCGUCACAGUCACGGGAGUAUGAUGAGUUUUACCGUGGCGAGCGCCGCAUGGAUCGCUUCGUGGGGAAGUACGAUCGGAAUUCAGUUGGCUUUGAUGGCAAGGGACGAGGCGAACGUGAUCCAUACCACUUGGGGGGUGGCGGUAACGACAGGGGUCCCCCUUCGGCUCGGCUGGGGCCCCGGGGCCCUUCACCCCAGGGCCGCUCAGAGCGGAGCCGCCCCUUUCCAAACCAGGGACGCAUGCCCCCUGUGGGACCACCACUGAUUGGGCAGGCCCCACCGCCUCCUCAGUACACUCCAGGUGGGCCCUCACACAACUACCCACCUCCACCAAUGAGGCUGGGAGGACCUCCGCCACCGCAAGUGCACCCCCCAGGGCCGCCACCUCCUCUGCGGCCACCGCCCCCACAGAGUGGUCCCCCACCACCAUUGCCAGCCAACCUGCAGGGCCCCCCGCCACCCACUGGGGCAGUGCCCCCACGAACAGGACCACCGCCACCAAGCCUCUUACGCAUGCCCCCUCCAAGAGGGCCUCCGCCGCCGCUAGGAGCACCCAGGGGUCCACCGUUGAUACCAGAUCACAGGGGCCCACCACCUGUGACCAACGACUGGGAGAGGCAACAAGGUGGAAUGCAUUCUCUGCCCCCAGUGUCGCAGCCUCCACCCCACCCUGGUGGAGUGCCCCCCGGCCCUGCCCCACCGGGUAUGCCUCCCAAUCGGCUGCCACCGCCUGUGCCCCCAGUGGUGCCGGCUCCAAACGUGCCGCCGCCAGCGCCCCAUGUGAACCCGGCGUUUUUCCCUCAACAUGCGGGACUGCCGCCACCACCAACCACGUCUCAGCCUUCAGACCCGUACGGCAGGCCACCCCCUACGCAGUACACACAUGACUACCGUGGACCCACCAAUGACAGCCACCCUUAUUCAGUAGAUCCGAGGAGUAUGUUGCCUGCAUCAUCAUCUAUGCCCUCAAGGCACACUAGAGAGCAGCAUGACAGACGUGACAUGAAGAAGCAAGUCUUUUCGGCCAACAAGCAAGACCCGCUGAAUCCUCCCAUCAAUGAGUCCGAGUUUGAAGAGAUCAUGUCCAGGAACAGGACAGUGUCAAGCAGUGCCAUUGCCCGUGCUGUGGCAGACGCCAGCACAGGUGAAUUUGCCAGUGCCAUUGAGACUCUGGUGACUGCCAUUUCGCUCAUCAAGCAGUCAAAGGUGGCCAACGAUGACCGCUGCAAGAUUCUGAUAAGCUCUCUGCAGGACACCCUGCAUGGCAUCGAAUCAAAAUCCUACAGCACCAGGAGUAAGGACCGUCCGCGCUCCAGGGAGAGGGACCGGUCACGAGAGCGAUCGUCACGCCGAGAGAAGUCGAGUAGGCGUGACCGGUCGCGCAGCCGUGAGCGGGACUACAGAGACCGGAGCCGCGAAAGAGACCGCUACCAUGAGGACCGCUACCGAGACAAGGAGAGGGAGCACCGCAGUCGCCACUAAGUGGCCCUCUUCACCACCGCAUGGGUGACAACCUACCUGCAGCAUCGCCAUGUGUGCAGCUGGUCUAUUUUUCUAUUCCU